CAGUCGCCGCGGUAAUACGAAGGGGGCUAGCGUUGUUCGGAUUUACUGGGCGUAAAGGGUGCGUAGGCGGAUUGUUAAGUCAGGGGUGAAAUGCCGGGGCUCAACCUCGGAACUGCCUUUGACACUGGCGAUCUUGAGUCCGGGAGAGGUGAGUGGAACUGCGAGUGUAGAGGUGAAAUUCGUAGAUAUUCGCAAGAACACCAGUGGCGAAGGCGGCUCACUGGCCCGGAACUGACGCUGAGGCACGACAGCGUGGGGAGCAAACAGGAUUAGAUACCCGCGUAGUCCCUGUCUCUUAUAC
RNAcentral lists this ribosomal RNA (301 nucleotides) under uncultured bacterium. Its description in RNAcentral is "partial 16S ribosomal RNA". It matches the Rfam family "Bacterial small subunit ribosomal RNA", at positions 509 to 807 of the family's 1533-position model. The record is from RNAcentral.